This 118-nucleotide ribosomal RNA is filed under the name Petromyzon marinus (sea lamprey). The record is from RNAcentral. Lineage: Eukaryota; Metazoa; Chordata; Hyperoartia; Petromyzontiformes; Petromyzontidae.
UUGACUGACCAAAUCCCUUGGGAUGUGGCCGAUAUCAUCAGAUUUUGGAAGCUAAGUAGGGUUCAGCUUGCUUAGUACUUGGAUGGGAAACUACCUGGGAAACCAGUUGUUGGAGGAC